CUGAUGCGUUGUUGGGUAGGGGAGCGUUCUGUAAGCCUGUGAAGGUGUGCUGUGAGGCAUGCUGGAGGUAUCAGAAGUGCGAAUGCUGACAUAAGUAACGAUAAAGCGGGUGAAAAGCCCGCUCGCCGGAAGACCAAGGGUUCCUGUCCAACGUUAAUCGGGGCAGGGUGAGUCGACCCCUAAGGCGAGGCCGAAAGGCGUAGUCGAUGGGAAACAGGUUAAUAUUCCUGUACUUGGUGUUACUGCGAAGGGGGGACGGAGAAGGCUAUGUUGGCCGGGCGACGGUUGUCCCGGUUUAAGCGUGUAGGCUGGUUUUCCAGGCAAAUCCGGAAAAUCAAGGCUGAGGCGUGAUGACGAGGCACUACGGUGCUGAAGCAACAAAUGCCCUGCUUCCAGGAAAAGCCUCUAAGCAUCAGGUAACAUCAAAUCGUACCCCAAACCGACACAGGUGGUCAGGUAGAGAAUACCAAGGCGCUUGAGAGAACUCGGGUGAAGGAACUAGGCAAAAUGGUGCCGUAACUUCGGGAGAAGGCACGCUGAUAUGUAGGUGAAGUCCCUCGCGGAUGGAGCUGAAAUCAGUCGAAGAUACCAGCUGGCUGCAACUGUUUAUUAAAAACACAGCACUGUGCAAACACGAAAGUGGACGUAUACGGUGUGACGCCUGCCCGGUGCCGGAAGGUUAAUUGAUGGGGUCAGCGCAAGCGAAGCUCUUGAUCGAAGCCCCGGUAAACGGCGGCCGUAACUAUAACGGUCCUAAGGUAGCGAAAUUCCUUGUCGGGUAAGUUCCGACCUGCACGAAUGGCGUAAUGAUGGCCAGGCUGUCUCCACCCGAGACUCAGUGAAAUUGAACUCGCUGUGAAGAUGCAGUGUACCCGCGGCAAGACGGAAAGACCCCGUGAACCUUUACUAUAGCUUGACACUGAACAUUGAGCCUUGAUGUGUAGGAUAGGUGGGAGGCUUUGAAGUGUGGACGCCAGUCUGCAUGGAGCCGACCUUGAAAUACCACCCUUUAAUGUUUGAUGUUCUAACGUUGACCCGUGAUCCGGGUUGCGGACAGUGUCUGGUGGGUAGUUUGACUGGGGCGGUCUCCUCCUAAAGAGUAACGGAGGAGCACGAAGGUUGGCUAAUCCUGGUCGGACAUCAGGAGGUUAGUGCAAUGGCAUAAGCCAGCUUGACUGCGAGCGUGACGGCGCGAGCAGGUGCGAAAGCAGGUCAUAGUGAUCCGGUGGUUCUGAAUGGAAGGGCCAUCGCUCAACGGAUAAAAGGUACUCCGGGGAUAACAGGCUGAUACCGCCCAAGAGUUCAUAUCGACGGCGGUGUUUGGCACCUCGAUGUCGGCUCAUCACAUCCUGGGGCUGAAGUAGGUCCCAAGGGUAUGGCUGUUCGCCAUUUAAAGUGGUACGCGAGCUGGGUUUAGAACGUCGUGAGACAGUUCGGUCCCUA
RNAcentral lists this ribosomal RNA (1443 nucleotides) under Escherichia coli. RNAcentral describes it as "partial 23S ribosomal RNA". It matches the Rfam family "Bacterial large subunit ribosomal RNA", at positions 1213 to 2640 of the family's 2925-position model. Lineage: Bacteria; Pseudomonadati; Pseudomonadota; Gammaproteobacteria; Enterobacterales; Enterobacteriaceae. The record is from RNAcentral.